AUGCUCUCUCAAGGUUUCAAAAGGUCUAAUUAUGAUAGUUGUGUUUAUUUGAAAACUGUCAAAGGUUCAACUAUUUAUUUGCUCCUUUAUGUUGAUGAUAUGCUUAUUGCUGCAAAGAGUAUGUCAGAGAUUAAUGAACUAAAGAAGCAAUUGAGUAAUGAAUUUGAGAUGAAGGAUUUGGGUGCAGCAAAGAAAAUACUUGGCAUGGAAAUAUCCAGAGAUAGACCGUCUGGAAAAGUAUAUCUAAGUCAGAAGGGAUAUAUUGAUAAAGUUCUUCUUCGUUUUAAUAUGCAUAAUGCCAAGCCAGUAAGUACUCCGUUAGCUGCACACUUCAAAUUAUCAUCAGCUUUAUGUCCUAAGUCAGAUGCAGAUAUUGAGUACAUGUCUAGAGUUCCCUAUUCGAGUGCAGUUGGUUCACUUAUGUAUGCCAUGGUUUGUUCUCGUCCUGAUUUAUCAUAUGCAUUGAGUGUUGUCAGUAGAUACAUGGCUAAUCCUGGAAAAGAGCAUUGGAGAGCAGUUCAGUGGAUUUUCAGAUACCUGCGUGGUACUUCUAAUGCUUAUUUACAGUUUGGGAAAACUAGAGAUGGACUUGUUGGUUUUGUUGAUUCUGAUUUUGCUGGUGAUUUGGAUAAGAGAAGAUCACUCACAGGUUAUGUUUUCACCGUUGGUGGUUGUGCUGUGAGUUGGAGAGCAACUUUGCAGUCUAUUGUGGCUUGUUCCACUACUGAUGCCGAGUAUAUGGCUAUUUCUGAGUCAUGCAAAGAAGCUAUCUGA
Molecule: ribosomal RNA, 774 nt
Filed under: Triticum aestivum (bread wheat)
Lineage: Eukaryota; Viridiplantae; Streptophyta; Magnoliopsida; Poales; Poaceae
Description: partial small subunit ribosomal RNA
Source: RNAcentral